GUAGGUGAACCUGCGGAAGGAUCAUUGUCGAAACCUGCCCAGCAGAACGACCAGCGAACAUGUUUAUACCAUGCAUGGGGAGGGGUUGCUGGCUUGCCCAGUCCCUCCCCUAUGUUGGGGGGCACUCCUCCGGGGGUGCUUCCUGGCACAAUAACUAACCCCGGCGCGUUAUGCGUCAAGGAACAUAAAUACGAGUGUGCCUAUCUUAUGCACGGGUAACCGGGGCAUGGGUAUGGCAACCAAUCUAAGUCAUAAAACGACUCUCGGCAACGGAUAUCUCGGCUCUCGCAUCGAUGAAGAACGUAGCGAAAUGCGAUACUUGGUGUGAAUUGCAGAAUCCCGUGAACCAUCGAGUUUUUGAACGCAAGUUGCGCCCGAAGCCUUCUGGCUAGGGCACGUCUGCCUGGGCGUCACGCAUAGCAUCUCCCCCACCCCACCAAGCAUGGGGAGGGAGAGGAUGAUGGCCUCCCAUGCCUCACCUGGCGUGGAUGGCCUAAAUAAGGAGCCCACGGUUACUUGUUUCCGCGGCGUUUGGUGGGUAUACAAGGCAUUUGCCUGGAAAGCAUCGCGUCGUGCAACAAGUAGCUUAUGUGUGUUUGCAGGACCCUUACAAACCUUUGCGACCCCAGGUCAGGCGGGGUUACCCGCUGAGUUUAAGCAUA
Molecule: small RNA, 662 nt
Filed under: Iresine sp. AC804
Lineage: Eukaryota; Viridiplantae; Streptophyta; Magnoliopsida; Caryophyllales; Amaranthaceae
Description: eukaryotic LSU rRNA
Rfam family: 5.8S ribosomal RNA (bases 259-413)
Source: RNAcentral